Long non-coding RNA from Mya arenaria, 891 nucleotides. RefSeq lists it as uncharacterized. The record is from RefSeq and is a predicted model, not a curated record. Lineage: Eukaryota; Metazoa; Mollusca; Bivalvia; Myida; Myidae. The transcript has 8 exons.
CCCCCCCCCACCACCACCAAGCUGCCCACCAGAGGCCAAGCUGUACUUGGUGUUUGCCAACAUGCUGUAAUUUCCAGCCUGGUUGCUGUAGCCACAGAGGAAUUUUCAAGGACAAGAACCAGUGCUGGUAAAACUGUGGUCUCUGUGGUUUUCCAUACCGGCUCUCGGCAAGGAUUUUCAAGAAAGGAAUACCAUCUCCAAAUCAUGAUGUGCCAAUAAGCUCCAGUUAGCUGCGGCCUUUUCCCCAGGCGGUAGUCCUGCAAUCUGAAUCCAGGAGAUGCAGCUCUGAAUCCAAUAUUUCAGAAGAAUGAAGAUGAAGCAGACCCAGGAGGAACUGUCUGUUGAAGACCUCCCCCCCCCCCACCACCACCAAGCUGCCCACCAGAGGCCAAGCUGUACUUGGUGUUUGCCAACAUGCUGUAAUUUCCAGCCUGGUUGCUGUAGCCACAGAGGAAUUUUCAAGGACAAGAACCAGUGCUGGUAAAACUGUGGUCUCUGUGGUUUUCCAUACCGGCUCUCGGCAAGGAUUUUCAAGAAAGGAAUACCAUCUCCAAAUCAUGAUGUGCCAAUAAGCUCCAGUUAGCUGCGGCCUUUUCCCCAGGCGGUAGUCCUGCAAUCUGAAUCCAGGAGAUGCAGCUCUGAAUCCAAUAUUUCAGAAGAAUGAAGAUGAAGCAGACCCAGGAGGAACUGUCUGUUGAAGACCUCCCCCCCCCCACCACCACCAAGCUGCCCACCAGAGGCCAAGCUGUACUUGGUGUUUGCCAACAUGCUGUAAUUUCCAGCCUGGUUGCUGUAGCCACAGAGGAAUUUUCAAGGACAAGAACCAGUGCUGGUAAAACUGUGGUCUCUGUGGUUUUCCAUACCGGCUCUCGGCAAGGAUUUUCAAGAAAG